CAAUAGCGUAUAUUUAAGUUGUUGCAGUUAAAAAGCUCGUAGUUGGAUUUCGGAUGGGACUUGCCGGUCCGUCGUUUCGAUGUGCACUGGCCAGUCCUAUCUUGUUGUCGGGGACUAGCUCCUGGGCUUCACUGUCCGGGACUAGGAGCUGACGAGGUUACUUUGAGUAAAUUAGAGUGUUCAAAGCAAGCCUACGCUCUGAAUACAUUAGCAUGGAAUAACACGAUAGGACUCUGGCUUAUCUUGUUGGUCUGUGAGACCAGAGUAAUGAUUAAGAGGGACAGUCGGGGGCAUUCGUAUUUCAUUGUCAGAGGUGAAAUUCUUGGAUCGUAGCACGACGAAUAACUGCGAANGNAUUUGCNAAGAAUGUUUNCAUUA
This 378-nucleotide ribosomal RNA is filed under the name uncultured eukaryote. RNAcentral describes it as "partial 18S ribosomal RNA". It matches the Rfam family "Eukaryotic small subunit ribosomal RNA", at positions 592 to 975 of the family's 1831-position model. The record is from RNAcentral.